CAGUAGCCACGGUAAUACGUAGGUGGCAAGCGUUGUCCGGAAUUAUUGGGCGUAAAGGGCUCGCAGGCGGUUUCUUAAGUCUGAUGUGAAAGCCCACGGCUCAACCGUGGAGGGUCAUUGGAAACUGUUAAACUUGAGUGCAGGAGAGAAAAGUGGAAUUCCUAGUGUAGCGGUGAAAUGCGUAGAGAUUAGGAGGAACACCAGUGGCGAAGGCGACUCUCUGGUCUGUAACUGACGCUGAGGAGCGAAAGCGUGGGGAGCGAACAGGAUUAGAUACCCCCGUAGUCCCUGUCUCUUAUAC
Molecule: ribosomal RNA, 301 nt
Filed under: uncultured bacterium
Lineage: Bacteria
Description: partial 16S ribosomal RNA
Rfam family: Bacterial small subunit ribosomal RNA
Source: RNAcentral